Molecule: transfer RNA, 87 nt
Filed under: Pseudomonadota bacterium
Lineage: Bacteria; Pseudomonadati; Pseudomonadota
Also listed under: 7 other names
Description: tRNA-Leu
Rfam family: tRNA
About the family: Transfer RNA (tRNA) molecules are approximately 80 nucleotides in length. Their secondary structure includes four short double-helical elements and three loops (D, anti-codon, and T loops). Further hydrogen bonds mediate the characteristic L-shaped molecular structure. tRNAs have two regions of fundamental functional importance: the anti-codon, which is responsible for specific mRNA codon recognition, and the 3' end, to which the tRNAs corresponding amino acid is attached (by aminoacyl-tRNA synthetases). tRNAs cope with the degeneracy of the genetic code in two manners: having more than one tRNA (with a specific anti-codon) for a particular amino acid; and 'wobble' base-pairing, i.e. permitting non-standard base-pairing at the 3rd anti-codon position.
Source: RNAcentral
GCCGAAGUGGCGGAACUGGCAGACGCGCUAGGUUCAGGGUCUAGUGGUGGAAACGCCGUGGGGGUUCGAGUCCCCCCUUCGGCACCA